Molecule: ribosomal RNA, 492 nt
Filed under: uncultured bacterium
Lineage: Bacteria
Description: partial 16S ribosomal RNA
Rfam family: Bacterial small subunit ribosomal RNA
Source: RNAcentral
AGUGAACGCUGGCGGUAGGCCUAACACAUGCAAGUCGAACGGCAGCACAGUAAGAGCUUGCUCUUACGGGUGGCGAGUGGCGGACGGGUGAGGAAUACAUCGGAAUCUACUUUUUCGUGGGGGAUAACGUGGGGAAACUUACGCUAAUACCGCAUACGACCUACGGGUGAAAGCAGGGGAUCUUCGGACCUUGCGCGAUUGAAUGAGCCGAUGUCGGAUUAGCUAGUUGGCGGGGUAAAGGCCCACCAAGGCGACGAUCCGUAGCUGGUCUGAGAGGAUGAUCAGCCACACUGGAACUGAGACACGGUCCAGACUCCUAAGGGAGGCAGCAGUGGGGAAUAUUGGACAAUGGGCGCAAGCCUGAUCCAGCCAUACCGCGUGGGUGAAGAAGGCCUUCGGGUUGUAAAGCCCUUUUGUUGGGAAAGAAAAGCAGCAGGUUAAUACCCCGCUGUUCUGACGGUACCCAAAGAAUAAGCACCGGCUAACUUCGUG